RNAcentral lists this unclassified non-coding RNA (378 nucleotides) under uncultured fungus. RNAcentral's name for it is "partial contains 5.8S ribosomal RNA and internal transcribed spacer 2". The stretch from base 1 to 133 matches the Rfam family "5.8S ribosomal RNA", at positions 22 to 154 of the family's 154-position model. The record is from RNAcentral. Lineage: Eukaryota; Fungi.
UGGCUCCCGCAUCGAUGAAGAACGCAGCGAAAUGCGAUAAGUAAUGUGAAUUGCAGAACUCAGUGAAUCAUCGAAUCUUUGAACGCAUCUUGCACUCCAUGGUAUUCCGUGGAGUAUGCCUGUCUGAGUGUCAUGAAACUCUCAACCCUCUUUCCUUUGUUUACCUUUGGAAUCUGGGCUUGGAUCAUGAGUGCCUGCUGGACCUGUGCAUCAGCUCACUCUAAAUGAAUCAGUGGUCUGCAUUCUUUGCCUCUGCAGAUAUCUGGCGUAAUAGAAUUUAUUCGCUGGACAUAUGUAGUUUAUGACAGAGUACUUGCUCACCAUCUACACAAACAUCUCUAAGUGUUUGGCCUCAGAUCAGGCAGGACUACCCGCUGA